ACAAGCAGUGCUGUGUUGUUCCUGGCUCACUCGUGGUCUCGUGGUCCUCAUUAUUUAUUUUUAAAUUAAUAAUCAUUUUAAUGCGUUUGGAUAAAAGGAGGCUAAACUGGAUUCAUUCAGCUUCGUGCGAUGAUUAACUUACAGCAGCUUCUUCUUCCGAGUGUUAUUUUGUUCAUUCUACUCUGUGGCAGAACUGCAGUUGUGAGGGUCAUUGGUCGGAGUGCAGCUGCUACAGUAGGAAGCGAUGCCACCUUGUUCUGCCAGCUGAUUGAGACAAAUGAGAGACUAACACAGAUUACGUGGCAAAGGACUCGAGAAACGCUCACAAAUAAGAACUUUUAUGUCAUUACUCCAGACGGCAAAACAGAAGAUAUAAAUGGAUUAGGAGACAGAGCUGAAUUUAUUGGGAGCAUUCAAGAAAUGACUGGCACAAUUCUUCUAAAGAAUGUUACAUUAAUAGAUAAAGGAGUUUACACCUGCAUCUUCAACAUAUUGCCAAGUGGACCAUUUGAGACAAAGAUUCAUCUCGAUGUGCUAGUGUAGCUUCAUUGAGGGGACACACACAGACCUCUGCCUCGGACCAGGGUGAAGAUGAUCCAGAGCCAAGAGAUGCAACUGACCUCUACCCAGCUGUGUCCAGCACCACAUUUGCUUAUUGUGUUUCUUGAACCUUACAAAGAGGUUUUCCAUGAGAUUUUCAGGCUUUGUAAGACUGCUGUGGUCACUCCAGUCAGCACUGCUUCCUGUGAGCGAAGCUUCUCAGCUUUAAAACUGAUUAAAACCCAUCUUAGGACAACAAUGGCUGAUGACUCUUAGCGUUGAGUCAAGGAGGGCACGUGCCCUCAACAUUGAUGACUAUGUGAAACAUUUUUCUACUUCUGAGCACAACAGAAGAAUUAUGCUCUUCUAAGCUGAGAAUUGAGUAGCUUGGCACUUAGGCAGAAUUCUUAGUGCUUGCUUGCUAAGCUCUGUACUAUGUUCAUGCCGAGACGGCACCAUUGAUCAUUUUUUUCUAAACAAAUUGUGUGGGUAUUUGCAUGCG
Long non-coding RNA from Pygocentrus nattereri (red-bellied piranha), 1042 nucleotides. RefSeq lists it as uncharacterized. The record is from RefSeq and is a predicted model, not a curated record. NCBI's taxonomy places the organism in Eukaryota, Metazoa, Chordata, Actinopteri, Characiformes, Serrasalmidae. The transcript is spliced from 3 exons.